AUGGACGAGUACCGGCCGCGCCGGUCGCCGGCUACCGAGCGGUUCGUCGGGUUGUUCUCGUCGCCGACGGAGUCGUCGUUCGUCGCCGGGGAUGAGUUCCACGAGGACGACUUCAUGUUCUCUUCUGCCCCAGUCGCCGCCUCGGACGCGCGGCCCGACGGGCCAGGGAGCCCGACCCGGGUUCCGCAUAGCCACCUCGGUCUCCUCGCCGCGCUGCACGAGGGGGACAAAAGGCUCCUUGUUCGCCGCGCCGGGGGCGGGAGCGGGGCAGCGGCGUCGGCUGUCGCGGCCACCCCGGCCACGCUGCUCCGGCGCAAGGCCACCAUCGCGGCUGCCACUUCGGCAUCUGGUGGUUCGCUGUCGCCCACCCAGUCCCCUGCCUCCGCCGCGUGGGCUAUCCCGGCGAACCCGAGGCCCAAGAACCGCGCACCGGCCCUGCAGUAUCACCAGUCGGCUCCAGUUAAGGUUCCCGUCCGCCCGCCCCCGAAGCCGGCAAUGGACAAGUGGGACGAACUGGACGACGAUGACGAGCUCCGGCACGGGGAGGCCGCCAUGCUGCCCCCGCACGAGAUGGUCGCGCGCGCGUCUGCUGGUGGCGCCGGGCCGACCGCCCCCUUCUCGAUGCUGGAGGGCGCCGGUCGCACGCUCAAGGGCCGAGAUCUUCGACGGGUACGCGACGCUGUGCUCCGGCAAACAGGAUGGCUCGACUGA
RNAcentral lists this ribosomal RNA (711 nucleotides) under Triticum aestivum (bread wheat). Its description in RNAcentral is "partial small subunit ribosomal RNA". The record is from RNAcentral. Lineage: Eukaryota; Viridiplantae; Streptophyta; Magnoliopsida; Poales; Poaceae.